CAAGAGCUUUGGCCAUUCCUACCGUCAUCGCAAAUUAUUCUCAAAAUCUUUUCUUAUCCGUGAUUUAUUGGAUGCCUUGAAGAAGAGAAUCUAAACAUCGUGUUUGUAUUUCCAAAGGCACUGUUUCAUAAGUCGAUGGGGAAAGAUGAGAGUGAAGGAGAAAAACCAACAAGUUUUGAAGCAAGGUUUCAAAUGUUCACCUUGAAGUUUCCUAGCGUAUUCUUGGCGUGUUUUUAAUGCAUCCUCCAGACUUCUGUUGCAGGGAUCUCAACCUUUUUGAGCCAACGGGCAUAUUUGAAAUUUUGAUAAUGUAUUUUGAAGCCUCCCACAUUUUUCCUUUUUGAACAAGAAGACUUCAGUCGUAUGAACUAUUUUUAUUGUCUAAGAGGAUCUACACUGCUCAAGGCACUUUUGAGAGAAAAAAAGAAAACGCCAGAAGCUGAUCUUUUGCUAUGUGGCAUGUCUUUUAUGUUGAAUGCCUAGAUGAAAUAAAGAUGGAUACCAAAGAAGAUGUUUUGGAACUGAUUGAGGUCUAUAAGCACCACCCUGGUCUCAGCUCAGUUCCCUAAAGGAGCAGAUCAAGAGCUAAUAAAAAGAAGAAUGGAAAAUA
Molecule: non-coding RNA, 610 nt
Organism: Pantherophis guttatus
Lineage: Eukaryota; Metazoa; Chordata; Lepidosauria; Squamata; Colubridae
Source: RefSeq, a predicted model, not a curated record